AUACACACUUGGUUCUUAAUUUCUUCUCCUGUUGCUGUGAAAAAGAAAUAACCUGACAAAAGCGCCUUAAAAGAGUUUCUUGCAGCUUGAAUUUCCACGGUAUAGUCCAUCACAGCAGGGAAGUCACGGCAGCAGCUGAAGCUGCCUGUCAAGGCAGCAGGAGCCUGAAGCAGCAAGCCAAAUGUUCACAUUCGGGAAGCAGAGAAAAGUGGAUGGCUCUUCUCAGCUCAUGGUGCAUUUCACACAGUUCAGGAUCUCAGUGGAAGGGGUGACACCAUCCACAGUGGUUGGUUCUUUCCCUCUUAAUAAACCUCAUCAAGAUAACUACCAAAAAGCAUGCCCAGAGGCCCAACUCCCGGGGCAUUCUAGAUCUCAUCAAGUUGACAGUUGAGAUGAACUGUCACUCUUGGAAACCUCACUGUAGCAUAAGGACUGAAAAGAGCAAGUUCAAGGUCAGACUCACAAACAGAACAAGUUGGAGUUCCAUGUAUUCCAGUGUUGAUGAAUACUUGAGUCUUUUACAUUCUGUCUUUCAAGUGUCUGAGAGGAAGGAAGGAAGGAAGGAAGGAAGGAAGGAAGGAAGGAAGGAAGGAAGGAAAGAAAGAAAGAAAGAAAGAAAGAAAGAAAGAAAGAUAAAGAAAAAGAAAGAGAGAAAGAAAGAGACAAAGACAACCAAAAGAAGAAGAAAUGCCAGUCUCUGGCUAUGACAUGUCUG
Molecule: long non-coding RNA, 715 nt
Filed under: Mus spicilegus (steppe mouse)
Lineage: Eukaryota; Metazoa; Chordata; Mammalia; Rodentia; Muridae
Description: lncRNA (ENSMSIG00000011527.1)
Source: RNAcentral